AUCCAGCUGAUGAGUCCCAAAUAGGAUGAAACGCCUGUCAAAUGGGAU
Molecule: non-coding RNA, 48 nt
Filed under: Schistosoma margrebowiei
Lineage: Eukaryota; Metazoa; Platyhelminthes; Trematoda; Strigeidida; Schistosomatidae
Source: RNAcentral